Molecule: ribosomal RNA, 484 nt
Filed under: uncultured bacterium
Lineage: Bacteria
Description: partial 16S ribosomal RNA
Rfam family: Bacterial small subunit ribosomal RNA
Source: RNAcentral
AGUGAACGCUGGCGGCGUGCUUAACACAUGCAAGUCGAACGAGAACGGAUUAUAGCUUGCUAUAAUUGUCAGCUAAGUGGCGCACGGGUGAGUAAUGUAUAGGUAAUAUGCCUCUUACUAAGGGAUAACAAAUGGAAACGUUUGCUAAUACCUUAUACUCCUUAUUAACAUAAGUUAAUAAGGGAAAGAUUUAUUGGUAAGAGAUUAGCCUGUAUUGUAUCAGUUAGUUGGUGGGGUAAUGGCUUACCAAGACUAUGACACAUAACUGGUUUGAGAGGAUGAUCAGUCACACUUGAACUGAGACACGGUCCGGACUCCUACGGGAGGCAGCAGUGGGGAAUAUUGCACAAUGGACGAAAGUCUGAUGCAGCAACGCCGCGUGGAGGAUGACACAUUUCGGUGCGCAAACUCCUUUUAUAUGAGAAGAUAAUGACGGUAUUAUAUGAAUAAGCACCGGCUAACUCCGUGCCAGCAGCCGCCGUAA